This 390-nucleotide RNase P RNA is filed under the name Amycolatopsis arida. Its description in RNAcentral is "Pseudonocardiaceae bacterium RA45 Bacterial RNase P class A". It matches the Rfam family "Bacterial RNase P class A". From Rfam's summary of the family: Ribonuclease P (RNase P) is a ubiquitous endoribonuclease, found in archaea, bacteria and eukarya as well as chloroplasts and mitochondria. Lineage: Bacteria; Bacillati; Actinomycetota; Actinomycetes; Pseudonocardiales; Pseudonocardiaceae. The record is from Rfam by way of RNAcentral.
CGAGUUGGCAGGGCGGCCGCGACGCCGCGUUCGCGCGGUAUCGAGGAAAGUCCGGACUCCGCAGGGCAGGGUGGUUGCUAACCGCAACCCGGGGCGACCCGCGGGACAGUGCCACAGAAAACAGACCGCCUGGCCGCUGCGGCCAGGUAAGGGUGAAACGGUGGUGUAAGAGACCACCAGCACCCCGGGUGACCGGGGUGGCUCGGUAAACCCCACCCGGAGCAAGGCCAAGAGGGAGCGCGAGCUCCUGCGCAGGCGUUCGAGGGCGGCCCGCCCGAUGCCUGCGGGUAGGCCGCUGGAGCCUGCCGGCGACGGCAGGCCGAGAUGGAUGGUCGCCCACCGCGCCACCCGGCGCGGGGACAGAAUCCGGCUUACAUGCCAACUCGUCCG